ACUUCAAAAAUCAUUAAAUACAGUCUAGAUUGGUGCAGUGGCGGAAUAGACUUAGUGAUAUAAACAUUAGACAAGAUGGGAAAGCAACGAAAGACUAGGAAGAUCGUCGAAAGGAAAUUCGCUAAAAUGAAGAAAUUGAUAAGCCCUAGCGAUAGUCGUAUCAAGGAAAGUGAGAGAGCAGCACCGAAAAAGAAAAAGGCGGAGAAUCCACACGAGUUGAAAUUACGGGAAGUACCACAAGCGAGCUCUGCACUAUUCUUCCAGUACAACACGCAACUCGGUCCACCAUACCACAUUCUGGUGGAUACGAAUUUCAUUAAUUUCUCAAUUAAGAACAAACUUGAUAUAGUGCAAAAUAUGAUGGAUUGCCUGUACGCUAAAUGCAUUCCCUACAUUACGGACUGUGUUCUAGGAGAGUUAGAGAAACUUGGUCGUAAAUAUCGCGUAGCUUUAAAGAUAAUAAAGGAUCCUCGUUUCGAGAGAUUAGCUUGCCUUCAUAAGGGUACAUAUGCUGAUGACUGUAUAACACAAAGAGUGACACAGCACAAAUGUUACAUUGUAGCUACAAAUGACAAAGAUUUGAAAAAGAGGAUCAGAAAAAUUCCUGGCGUGCCAAUAAUGUAUGUGGCUGAACAUAAAUAUACUAUAGAGAGAAUGCCUGAUGCAUAUGGGGCUCCUAAAGGAGCCAUCUAGUUGUAAGUUAGAGUAAAUUUUGUUUAUAUUGAAUACUUGUGUUUUAUUUUGAUCUUUUUUCUUCAUGAAGGCAGAAUAGCUGACAUCCAAAUAUUACCCCUCCUGUGAAGUUCUGAAUUUACGAUGUUAAUAGUUUUCGAAAUAUUAGUUUUUGAAAAUUCUAAAAGUUAAGCCCAGGGUGAUAUGCUAAUAUUGGAUUUCCUUUUUAAAUUUUUUUUAUUGAAUUGGUAUUCAAUUAUUUUUAUGUUAAUGUACUCCACUAGUUUGUUAUAAUUAUUAAUACAAAGAUUGAUCACUCAGAAAAAAUUACUUCAAUCCGGCUGGAUUCGAACCGACGUCUUCUAGCAUACCAUACCAGACGCUAUACCAAGUAAGCCACGGAGUGAACUAGCGGACUUGACGAAUUUUGCUGUGUGCUUGUGACGUAUCUUUGUACUUUUUAACCGUAGCGCCAUCUAUGAUAUUUCGUCAUCAUAUUGUAUUUCCAGGGGCUUUACCAUGAACCCUUAUUACGAUUCAGUUUAGGACCUGAAAAUGAAUCGUAGUGAGACAGUGUAUAUCACCAUCCCGCUUUUUUGGCGUUACAAACCUAACUGAACCGUAAUAAGAGUUCAUGGUAAGGCCCCCUUCUUUUUUUUAGUGUAUUAUUUGGCUUCUGUCCAAGGCCCCUGUUGUAUUUAGAUAUUGUAAAAUUAUCAUAGUGCAUUAUUAAAUCUGAACUGCAAAUAGUUCAGUGUAGGCUUACACCAAACUAUUUGA
This is an RNA transcript of Hyposmocoma kahamanoa, 1452 nucleotides long. It is a transcript of the gene named rRNA-processing protein FCF1 homolog, with no coding region annotated. Lineage: Eukaryota; Metazoa; Arthropoda; Insecta; Lepidoptera; Cosmopterigidae. The record is from RefSeq and is a predicted model, not a curated record. The transcript is spliced from 3 exons.